AUUAAACGCUGGCGGCAUGCCUUACACAUGCAAGUCGAACGGCAGCACGGGGGGAACCCUGGUGGCGAGUGGCGAACGGGUGAGUAAAGCAUCGGAACGUGCCCUGGAGUGGGGGAUAACGUAGCGAAAGUUACGCUAAUACCGCAUAUUCUGUGAGCAGGAAAGCAGGGGAUCGCAAGACCUUGCGCUCUGGGAGCGGCCGAUGUCGGAUUAGCUAGUUGGUGGGGUAAAGGCCUACCAAGGCGACGAUCCGUAGCGGGUCUGAGAGGAUGAUCCGCCACACUGGGACUGAGACACGGCCCAGACUCCUACGGGAGGCAGCAGUGGGGAAUUUUGGACAAUGGGCGAAAGCCUGAUCCAGCCAUGCCGCGUGAGUGAAGAAGGCC
Molecule: ribosomal RNA, 386 nt
Filed under: uncultured bacterium
Lineage: Bacteria
Description: bacterial SSU rRNA
Rfam family: Bacterial small subunit ribosomal RNA
Source: RNAcentral